ACGGCCCGUGAGCAGAGCGCGCGUCCUCUUCCCUCCUCCCUCCGGCCGCGCCCCCGCGGCGGUCAGAUCCGGCUCCCCCCUCCCCCCCCCCCCUCGGCCGGCUCCCUCCCUCCCUCCUCCCUCCUUGUCUCGAUGGCGUAUACGGCGGUAGCGUCUGGAUCCAGCGAUCUGAGCUCCGGCCUCCCUCCCCGCCUUCCUCGCCGACGCCGGGUCCGCGCACGAAAGACGGCGGCGCGGCCUACCCAGCAGCCUGCGCGGUUCGCUGCUGCAAUGUCGCCGCGCGGCGAGGGGCCUCCAACACCGGCCGACGGAGCUCACAUGGGCGGCGAGCGCGGCACCUGGCGGUGGCAGAGUCAGAGUCUAGCGACCUCCCAUUUUUCCCUUGCAGCAGCGGCAGCGGCAGGCCUCCCCCUGCCAUGUCCGACACCACCACCACAGCGGCACCGCAGCCCAAGCCCCACCACCUCCCAAAAGCCUGAUUCAUGACCCCCGCCUCGGGCCCAUCCCCGGCGCCCGGAUCCUCCCGGCCCACUGCCACACCGGCCGACGCCGUUGCCACUUCGGCGGCCGCGGCGGCGCCCCCGUCCCGCCCCUCGGCGCCGCGCGCCGUCCCUCCACCCUAACACUCACAGGCUUCUCCACCUCCGAGGCCUACUGCCUCACCGCCGCCCACCCCGCCACGGACAGUUGCUCCUCUUCCAAAGCCCACACCGCUCUCGCCCCCGCCAACGUCCCCGCCGCUGUCUGCCCUGCCGACGCCCACGCUCUCACCGCCAAGAACGCAUCCACCAGAGUCCCCGGCACCUGCAUCACCUCCUGCCGCCACUCCACCACCCGUUCCGGUGCCAUCAUCACCGACUAGCCACAAGCCAUCGUGAUAUGCACCAUUAUAACUUAAUGACUGAUAGUUGCAUGUAUAGGUAUUUGUACUGGAUGCAAGCAAAUCAAGGUGCUCAAGGAUGGCCUUUCAGCAGUUCGUGUGCCGUAUUCUUAUGGUUUUGCAAUCAUUCUGCUCAAAAUCCUUGUCAAGGCUGCGACAUUGCCUCUAACCAAAAAGCAGAAUUUACAGCCGCAGAUUAAGGCAGUCCAGCUGAGAUAUGCAGGCAACUAGGUUUGUAUAGCUGCCGGAAAUUUCAACCAUUGAUUGUGCUCCCUACAAAAUUAUCGAGAACAGCCGUCAGUUUUGACAUAGCUGAAGAUAAGAUGAAGCAACAAUUGAAGUUGUUUACAGCGACAAGUAGCUACCUUACACAGAUAUAACGGCAAUUUUUAUAGGGCAUAAAGAAAAUAGUAAAUAUCAUAUGUGAGGAAAACAGCUAGUAUGAUAUCCAAAGAUCAAUGAAGAAAAUAGCAAGGGUGAUAUGUACUGUAAGUAGGAGAACAUGGAAACAUGGUAAGAGCACCUAAAUAAAAAAGGUUUUUGCAAGGCUAGGUGCAGAAAGAUUCUUUGGUUGAUAAGAAAUUAUAAUAUCGUGAUGCAGCAAAUGGAUAAAUUGGACAUAGCCGUGUGUAGCUAUUUGUAGCUAAUCUAUUUGUUUCAUUUGAGGUUUUUAGCAAGAGCAUACCUAGGUUUGGGAGUGUCGAACACAGUCAUC
Molecule: long non-coding RNA, 1595 nt
Organism: Panicum virgatum (switchgrass)
Lineage: Eukaryota; Viridiplantae; Streptophyta; Magnoliopsida; Poales; Poaceae
Exons: 3
Source: RefSeq, a predicted model, not a curated record